This 218-nucleotide unclassified non-coding RNA is filed under the name Hevea brasiliensis (rubber tree). Lineage: Eukaryota; Viridiplantae; Streptophyta; Magnoliopsida; Malpighiales; Euphorbiaceae. The record is from RNAcentral.
GCGGAAGCGUAUGUGGGGAACCGAGGACUGCCUACCAUCGUCAAUUCCUUCACCAACACACUCGAGGCACUGCUGAACUACCUACACAUACUGCCUAGUAGGAAGCGGACAAUUUCGGUUCUGCACGAUGUUAGCGGAAUCAUCAAGCCUCGCAGGAUGACUCUACUGUUAGGUCCCCCGGGAUCGGGAAAGACCACACUGUUGCUGGCUUUGGCGGG